This is a long non-coding RNA of Globicephala melas (long-finned pilot whale), 1778 nucleotides long. RefSeq lists it as uncharacterized. The record is from RefSeq and is a predicted model, not a curated record. NCBI's taxonomy places the organism in Eukaryota, Metazoa, Chordata, Mammalia, Artiodactyla, Delphinidae.
CCACCGCCGGCGUCCUAGCCCCAGCCUUUCCGCGAGCCCUGAAUCCCAGCCGCGCCCGGGGCGGCGAGAUCUUGUACCCCACGGAGAAGGUGAGCUGUCUGCGUAAGUUCUGGCCUAAAGCAUGCUUCCACUACGAGACCUGCAAGAUGACACUCCACAUGAAGAACUACAAGGGCUAUGAGAAGAAGCCCCGGUGCAAUGCACACUACCCCACGGAGUCCUUCACCACGGCGGCGACAUCCCGGAAAAACAACAGAGUGAGCUCCAGAGUCAGGAUUUUCUUUUAAAAGUAGCAAAUGGAUCUUGGUGUCUAAAAUGGGUGUUAAUGAUGGACUGAUACAAUGGAAUACUGGAAAGGACUCUCCCAGUGCUAUCUCAUUAACCAGAUGACCUCCAGACAUUGUCAGUGCAACCCAGCCGAGGUGAUUGAUCACCAGAGAACAGAGCUGCCAGCCCUCUCAUGAAUGCUUGGCCAUGUCCACAAGAGUGAAUAUGUGAGAGAUUUGAGAACAAAUGAAAGAAAUUUCAACAAUCACAGAUACUGGAAAUGCCUAAAUGUGGGUCACUGGGGUCCAGUUAUCAAGGGUCAGGGAAGACCUGAUUAAGAAAAUGACAUUCUGGGAGAGGACCCUCAAGAUGGCAGAGGAGUAAGAUGCAGAGAUCACCUUCCUCCCCACAAAUACAUCAGAAAUACACCUACAUGUGGAACAACUCCUACAGAACACCAACUGAAUGCUGGCAGAAGACCUCAGACCUCCCAAAAGGCAAGAAACUUCCCACGUACCUGGGUAGGGCAAAAGAAAAAAGAAAAAACAGAGACAAAAGAAUAGAGAUGGGACCUGCACCUCUGGGAGGGAGCUGUGAAGGAGGAAAAGUUUCCACACACUAGGAAGCCCCUUCACUAGUGGAGAUGGGGAGUGGGUGGGGGUGAAGCUUUGGAGCCACAGAGGAGAGCGAAGCAACAGCAGUGCAGAGGGCAAAGCAGAGAGAUUCCCCCACAGAGUAUCAGUGCCGACCAGCCCUCACCAGCCCAAGAGGCUUGUCUGCUCACCCGCCAGGGUGGGUGGGUGCUGGGAGCUGAGGCUCAGGCUUCGGAGGUCGGGUCCCAGGGAGAGGACUGGGGUUGGCUGUGUGAACACAGCCUGAAGGGGGCUAGUGCCCCAGAGCUAGCCGGGAAGGAGGCGGGGAAAAAGUCUGGAACUGCCAAAGAGGAAAGAGACCAUUGUGUCAUAGUGUGCGAGGAGAGGAGAUUCAGAGCACCACCUAAACAAGCUCCAGAGAUGGGUGUAAGCCGCAGCUAUCAGCUUGGAUACCAGAGACGGGCAUGAACUGCUAAGGCUGCUGCUACAGCCACCAAGAAGCCUGUGUGCAAGCACAGGUCACUAUCCACAACUCCCUUCCCGGGAACCUGUGCAGCCCGCCACUGCCAGGGUCCCAUGAUCCCGGGACAACUUCCCCGGGAGAACACCUGGCGCACCUCAGGUUGUUGCAAUGUCAUACUGGCCUCUGCUACCGCAGGCUUGCCCUGCAUUCCAUACCCCUCCAUUCCCCCAGCCUGAGUGAGCCAGAGCCCCCUAAUCAGCUGCUCCUUUAACCCCGUCCUGUCUGGGCAGGGAACAGAUGCCCUCAGGUGACCUACACGCAGAGGUGGGGCCAAAUCCAAAGCUGAGCCCCUGGGAUCUGUGAGAACAAAGAAGAGAAAGGGAAAUCUCUCCCAGCAGCCUCAGCAUCAGCAGAUUAAAUCUCCACAAUCAACAUGAUGUACCCUGCAUCUGUGG